AGUGAACGCUGGCGGUAGGCCUAACACAUGCAAGUCGAACGGCAGCACAGGAGAGCUUGCUCUCUAGGUGGCGAGUGGCGGACGGGUGAGGAAUACAUCGGAAUCUGCCCAGUCGUGGGGGAUAACGUAGGGAAACUUACGCUAAUACCGCAUACGACCUUCGGGUGAAAGAGGGGGAUCGCAAGACCUCUCGCGAUUGGAUGAGCCGAUGUCGGAUUAGCUAGUUAGCGGGGUAAUGGCCCACCAAGGCGACGACCCGUAGCUGGUCUGAGAGGAUGAUCAGCCACACUGGAACUGAGACACGGUCCAGACUCCUACGGGAGGCAGCAGUGGGGAAUAUUGGACAAUGGGCGCAAGCCUGAUCCAGCCAUACCGCGUGGGUGAAGAAGGCCUUCGGGUUGUAAAGCCCUUUUGUUGGGAAAGAAAUCUUUCAGGCUAAUACCCUGGGAGGAUGACGGUACCAAAAGAAUAAGCACCGGCUAACUUCGUG
RNAcentral lists this ribosomal RNA (490 nucleotides) under uncultured bacterium. RNAcentral's name for it is "partial 16S ribosomal RNA". It matches the Rfam family "Bacterial small subunit ribosomal RNA", at positions 29 to 507 of the family's 1533-position model. The record is from RNAcentral.